CCUACGGGUGGCAGCAGUGAGGAAUAUUGGUCAAUGGGCGAGAGCCUGAACCAGCCAAGUCGCGUGAAGGAUGACGGCCCUACGGGUUGUAAACUUCUUUUGUCAGGGAGCAAGUGAGGCCACGUGUGGGCUUAGCGAGAGGACCUGAAGAAAAAGCAGCGGCGAACUCCGUGCCAGCAGCCGCGGUAAUACGGAGGAUGCGAGCGUUAUCAGGAUUUAUUGGGUUUAAAGGGUGCGUCGGCGGAAUAUCAAGUCAGCGGUAAAAAUUCGGGGCUCAACCCCGUCGUGCCGUUGAAACUGCUGUUCUUGAGUGGGCGAGAAGUAUGCGGUAUGCGUGGUGUAGCGGU
Molecule: ribosomal RNA, 347 nt
Filed under: uncultured bacterium
Lineage: Bacteria
Description: partial 16S ribosomal RNA
Rfam family: Bacterial small subunit ribosomal RNA
Source: RNAcentral